CGCGGCCUCCAAUCAGGAGCCCCGCCUGCCAAUUGCGAAGCUCCAUUGGCUGAGGCGGCCUUCUAAAUUCCGCGAGGGCACGCCCACCACCGAACGCCCCGGGACGCGCCGCUGGAGUUUCCACUUCGCUGAGAAAUCUGCCCGGCGACUGAGCAUGCUCAGUUCCACGGGCGCCUUGGGCCGCGCGCUCCUGGAGUUGCAUUGUUUUACUGCUUCUUUUUGGAAUGACCUCCGUCAGACAAGUGUGUAUCUACCUUCACGGGAAGGAAAAUGAGUAAGAGUGGACAAUUACCCGUAAAAUCCCGUGUGUUGGAUGCUGGAGGUCUCUGAAGGAAGGAAGAGUGUACCAAUAACCUCAAUAAAAAGAAAGAAGAAGAAGAAAAAAAAAAGAAUUGGAGAGCCGGGCGUGGUGGCACAUGCCUGUAAUCCCAGCACUCAGGAGGCUGAGGCAAGAGGAUCACUGUGAGUUCGAGACCAGCCUGGGCUACAUAGUGAAUUCCAGGUCAGUCUCAACUACAUAGUGAGACCCUGUCUCAAAAAAAGAAAAAAAAAAAAAAGAAAAGAAAAGAAAAAAGAAUUGGAGUAAUAAAGAUGAGUUUUGGAGACUGUAACUGCCAACAAGGGUGAUACCACUUUCCAAAGGGCAAAAAUUGGUUUAUGGGGCACCAAAAAUCUUAGCUCUUACAAUAGUUUAUGGGCCUCCAAAACUCAACCAUAACUGAUAAAAAUCUUAUUUCUUAGUAUUCAAUGUAUAUUGUUGGGUUUUGGUGCUUUGGGAUUCAGAUGAAUCACACCCAAUAUUGAAUUCAUGGAAGACACAGAAAAUGUAUGGAAUAUCGGUGCUGCAAAACUAUGGAAAUAUUUGGAUGUGACUGAAGGUCUCUCACAUACACAAC
Molecule: long non-coding RNA, 896 nt
Filed under: Fukomys damarensis (Damara mole-rat)
Lineage: Eukaryota; Metazoa; Chordata; Mammalia; Rodentia; Bathyergidae
Description: lncRNA (ENSFDAG00000031116.1)
Source: RNAcentral